UACGGAGGAUGCGAGCGUUAUCCGGAUUUAUUGGGUUUAAAGGGUGCGUAGGCGGACGCUUAAGUCAGCGGUAAAAUUGCGGGGCUCAACCUCGUCGAGCCGUUGAAACUGGGUGCCUUGAGUGGGCGAGAAGUACGCGGAAUGCGUGGUGUAGCGGUGAAAUGCAUAGAUAUCACGCAGAACUCCGAUUGCGAAGGCAGCGUGCCGGCGCCCAACUGACGCUGAAGCACGAAGGCGUGGGUAUCGAACAGG
This 252-nucleotide ribosomal RNA is filed under the name uncultured bacterium. RNAcentral's name for it is "partial 16S ribosomal RNA". It matches the Rfam family "Bacterial small subunit ribosomal RNA", at positions 524 to 776 of the family's 1533-position model. The record is from RNAcentral.